Long non-coding RNA from Passer montanus (Eurasian tree sparrow), 1284 nucleotides. RefSeq lists it as uncharacterized. NCBI's taxonomy places the organism in Eukaryota, Metazoa, Chordata, Aves, Passeriformes, Passeridae. The transcript is spliced from 3 exons. The record is from RefSeq and is a predicted model, not a curated record.
GGGGCCUUGGGAGCGGGAAUGGCCGUAGGCUGGGAAGCUGGACCUUGCUUUAUAGGCUGUUACACAAGAAGAUGAAGAUUGAAGGGAAACGGGGGAUUCUACCACAGCUGAACCCCUGAGGCUGGGGAAAGAAGUGGGAUUUUUGGAUGAUGUGGAGUUGAAGAUGACAGUAGCCAUGAAUCCAGCAGUUUUCCUUGAUCCAAAGGCAAUGGAUGAGGGAGCCCUGACACAUGAUUGUCUCCAAACCAUGGAACAGAUAUGCAUUUGUUGUGAUUCAUGCCCAUAUGGAAGGGAAGAGGACUGCUAUCGGCUCAAGGAUCACCUAUUCAACACAGAGAAGAAAUUUUACAACUUCUGAAAGUUAAAAAACCAAAGGAGGUGGCAGUGAUGCAUUGUAAAGCACUUCAAUCUGGGCAAACUAAUGUUAGAGUGGGAAACCGACUGGCAGACAAAGCAGCUUCAAAAGCAGCUGCAAAAGGCAUCCCAACCUUCUGUUUGUGUUAGUGCCACAAAAAUAAAUUGACAUAAUUGAAGGCUAAUUCUGACAGUGAAGAUCAAUAUUUAGAAAAUAUAUUAAAAGCCACUAAGUUCCAAGAGGGAUGGUGAGUAACAAACAGCCAACAGGUUCCACUUCCUAUAAGGAGGAAAGUAAUAGGAAAAGAACACAACAAAUCCCUCAGGGGAAUUGAGUCCCAGACAUCUAGUCUCCAAAACUCUGUACUUAGUGUGGAAAUGACUGAAAUAGAAAAAUUUGUAACAAUGCAAUGUCCAAUUUGUUUAAAAAACAAUCCCAUAGCAAGAAAAGGCCACCUCCUGGAACAGUUAAAGACAAGAUUCACAAGCCUUAAGGGGAGAAUGUUGCCAGAUAAAGAAUUGUUUGCACCUGGUGGGUCAAGACAAUGAUCACUGCUGAAAAACCACUGGCCUAUGGAACUGCACUAUGCCCAUUCUGUAGGAAGAAGAACUGAAGAGGAGCCAGCCCAGUUGUGCCAACUUUUAUCAGUUCACCAGGCAGUCAGGUUUGACUUUGGGAUCACCAGCCACCAGGGACCACCAAAAAGACCCCCAGGACAGAAAAACACAUCUGCAGAGAGAAGGGAAAAUAUGUUAAUGAUUUUGGGGAAAUGAUUAUUAAAUGUAUGUAUGCUUAUCAUGAAAAUCAAUGAAUGUGUGUAAAAUAAAGCCUCUAAAUAGGAGCUUUUUCUGUACUCAGCAUGCACAAUAUUCCAGAGGAUAUCCCCACAUGCAUCCAGCCAAAUAAAGAAUGCCUGCUUCUUAAUGCUA